Long non-coding RNA from Mytilus californianus (California mussel), 491 nucleotides. RefSeq lists it as uncharacterized. The transcript is spliced from 3 exons. NCBI's taxonomy places the organism in Eukaryota, Metazoa, Mollusca, Bivalvia, Mytilida, Mytilidae. The record is from RefSeq and is a predicted model, not a curated record.
GUCAAUUAUAAUAAUAAUUGUCUUCAAAACUUAUCACUUCUUUUUCCUAUCUAAUUUCAAUAUUUUCGAACUGUAUUAUCAUUUUACAGCAAAAGCUUUAAAUAAAAGGAUAUAUGGAGUCACAGUGAAUGUCAAAGGUUGACCAUUCGAACAUUUACGAUCAACUAUGAUUAAGUUCCUUGGGGUUUUUAUGUACAUGUUGUUGAUUGUUUCAACUUUGGCGUCAAAUGCCUGUUACAAAGACGGUAAUUGGUAUGACGAUGGUGAAGACAUAGGUUUCCAUGACGACUGUUAUGGAUGUAAAUGCAGUGAUGGACUUAUUUUAUGCAUCGACCAAAAGUUGACGUGUGAAAGACCUGUAUGUGGUGAGCGAGCUGUGUCUAUACCAGGUCAAUGUUGCCCAGUCUGCGUGUAGGAUAUUCGUAUCAGUAUCUGGUUUCACCACCGUGGUGAUGCAUAUACUCACUAUGAUGAAUAAAAUUGUAUUUUAA